UGAGAUCAAGAUUUGCAAAAUACACACGGAUUUGAACAUUUCUGAUCUGUUGAAAAAACUACUCCCGCAGGCUAAGCAUGAUGCGCAUGUAAGAGCUAUGGGUAUUAGGUACCUUCUAGAUUGACUCUAGUGCAAGUGGGAGACUAUUGGAGGUAUGCCCUAGAGGCAAUCAUAUAGAUGAUGAUAUUCCAUUUGUAUCCAUGAUUUAUAUUGUGUUCUUUGAAUAUCCAUUAAAGGCUACUUGAAUUGAUUUGCAAUUAUGUGAAUUGUAUGUGAAACUCUUUACUUGUAUGGUUAUUCUAAAGUUGUCCCUAGUUGGAGUUCAUGUGAGGACACACAUGAAUAUUAGACUAGCACAUGUACUAGUUGAUGACUAUGUUUCACGAGUCAUGGACAUGGAGAUGUUAAACUAAUAAUGUUGGCACAUAUGGAGACAUGUGCUAGGACUAACCCAACACGAGAAGUAGUUCUCUCUUUACACAACAUGUACGCUUUGUCCUUAGACUUGAGAUUGUCGCAUGUACUCAAGAUGUGGAUCGACUUACUUAGGGGCUAUCAAACGCUACACCAUGACAGGGUAGUUAAAAAGGUAGCUUUCGGGUUUGUCAAGGAGCAUGCUGUGAGACAUGGUCAAUCAAGAUAGGAUUUGCCCCUCUCUGAUUGAGAGUGAUAUCUCUGGGCCCCUCGAGUGAUCGGAUUUGAAAAUGCAUAGCCAUGCUACGUACGGUUUAGAGUUAACCUACAAAGGGAUUUUGAAUCACAGGAUUGAGAAAGAGCGGUCAACUUGAAGCUAGACCAAAUAUAGUGAGGCAAAGGGAAUAGCAUGUACAUAAUGUUGUGGUGGUUCGUCUAAUCUGAUCUUCGUGUGCGUAUAGGAGUUUGCACAUCUUGCUAGAGGC
RNAcentral lists this long non-coding RNA (899 nucleotides) under Setaria viridis. RNAcentral's name for it is "long non-coding RNA (SVIR_LNC004521)". Lineage: Eukaryota; Viridiplantae; Streptophyta; Magnoliopsida; Poales; Poaceae. The record is from RNAcentral.